Molecule: ribosomal RNA, 500 nt
Filed under: uncultured Glomeromycotina
Lineage: Eukaryota; Fungi; Glomeromycota
Description: partial small subunit ribosomal RNA
Rfam family: Eukaryotic small subunit ribosomal RNA
Source: RNAcentral
CCAAUAGCGUAUAUUAAAGUUGUUGCAGUUAAAAAGCUCGUAGUUGAAUUUUGGGUCUGGCCGGGCGGUCCGCCCUCUGGGUGAGCACUGUUCCGACGUCGGGCCUAUCCUUCUGGUGAGUCGGCAUGUCCUUUAUUGGGUGUGUCGGGGAACCAGGACCAUUACCUUGAAAAAAUUAGAGUGUUCAAAGCAGGCGUAUGCUCGGAUACAUUAGCAUGGAAUAAUGAAAUAGGACGCGUGGUGCUAUUUUGUUUGUUUAUAGAACCGCCGUAAUGAUUAAUAGGGAUAGUUGGGGGCAUUAGUAUUGAAUUGUCAGAGGUGAAAUUCUUGGAUUUAUUGAAGACUAACUUCUGCGAAAGCAUUUGCCAAGUAUGUUUUCAUUAAUCAAGAACGAAAGUUAGGGGAUCGAAGACGUUCAGAUACCGUCGUAGUCUUAACCAUAAACGAUGCCGACUAGGAAUCGGGCGAUGUUAUUCUCAUGACUCGCCCGGCGCCUUAUG